GAUGAACGCUGGCGGCGUGCCUAAUACAUGCAAGUCGAGCGAACAGACGAGGAGCUUGCCCCUCUGACGUUAGCGGCGGACGGGUGAGUAACACGUGGAUAACCUACCUAUAAGACUGGGAUAACUUCGGGAAACCGGAGCUAAUACCGGAUAAUAUAUUGAACCGCAUGGUUCAAUAGUGAAAGACGGUUUUGCUGUCACUUAUAGAUGGAUCCGCGCCGCAUUAGCUAGUUGGUAAGGUAACGGCUUACCAAGGCAACGAUGCGUAGCCGACCUGAGAGGGUGAUCGGCCACACUGGAACUGAGACACGGUCCAGACUCCUACGGGAGGCAGCAGUAGGGAAUCUUCCGCAAUGGGCGAAAGCCUGACGGAGCAACGCCGCGUGAGUGAUGAAGGUCUUCGGACCGUAAAACUCUGUUAUUAGGGAAGAACAAAUGUGUAAGUAACGAUGCACGUCUUGACGGUACUAAUCAGAAAGCCACGGCUAACUACGUG
RNAcentral lists this ribosomal RNA (496 nucleotides) under uncultured bacterium. Its description in RNAcentral is "partial 16S ribosomal RNA". It matches the Rfam family "Bacterial small subunit ribosomal RNA", at positions 28 to 507 of the family's 1533-position model. The record is from RNAcentral.